GAUGAACGCUAGCUACAGGCUUAACACAUGCAAGUCGAGGGGCAGCAUGAACUUAGCUUGCUAAGUUUGAUGGCGACCGGCGCACGGGUGAGUAACACGUAUCCAACCUGCCGAUGACUCGGGGAUAGCCUUUCGAAAGAAAGAUUAAUACCCGAUGGCAUAAUUCUUCCGCAUGGUAGAACUAUUAAAGAAUUUCGGUCAUCGAUGGGGAUGCGUUCCAUUAGGUUGUUGGCGGGGUAACGGCCCACCAAGCCUUCGAUGGAUAGGGGUUCUGAGAGGAAGGUCCCCCACAUUGGAACUGAGACACGGUCCAAACUCCUACGGGAGGCAGCAGUGAGGAAUAUUGGUCAAUGGACGAGAGUCUGAACCAGCCAAGUAGCGUGAAGGAUGACUGCCCUAUGGGUUGUAAACUUCUUUUAUACGGGAAUAAAGUGAGGCACGUGUGCCUUUUUGUAUGUACCGUAUGAAUAAGGAUCGGCUAACUCCGUG
This 489-nucleotide ribosomal RNA is filed under the name uncultured bacterium. RNAcentral's name for it is "bacterial SSU rRNA". It matches the Rfam family "Bacterial small subunit ribosomal RNA", at positions 28 to 507 of the family's 1533-position model. The record is from RNAcentral.